GGCGACUUGGCGGCGGGUGCCAUGCGUCUGGAGCUUCACAUUCUCUGCCCCCCACCCACCGCGCCGGCGCUCCCUUGUCACGCCUCGGGAAGCGCGCACCUGCCAAGCAGGUCACUCUGUCGCCGGAGGGCAGUGGCAUGAUCAUAGGUCACUGUAACCUGGAACUCCUGGGUUCAGGCAAUCUUCCCACUUCAGCUUCCUGAGUAGCUAGAAUUACAGGUGUGUGCUACCAUUCUGGCAGUUUUUUUUUUUUAGAGACUAUAUCUCUAUGGGGUAUAAAUUUCUCUCUAAGCAACACACUUUAUUCCUUCAAGUUUUAAUAACUGUAUUUUCACUAUUAUUCACUUAUAAAUAAUUCACUUUUGUAUUUAAAAAGAAUAAGUAUUCUUUCUUGUUUGGGAGUAUAGAGUUCCAUAUAAUGCCUGUUCAAAUUUGCUGAUUAUAUUGUUUAAAUCUUUUAAAUCAAAGGUAUUUUAUCUACUUAUUCUAUUAGUUAUUGAUAGUAUGUUGAAAUAUUCCACUGUUAUAGAUUUAUUCAUUUUUCCUUGUAGGUCUGCUAAUUUUUAUUUUCUCUAUUUUGAAGCUAUGUAUUAGAUAUAUCAAAAUUGUUAUAUUUCUCUGGCAAACUGAACCUUUUAUAAUUAUCAAGUGUCCCUCUUUGUUUCUAAUAAUGGUUUUUGUUUUAGAGUUUAACUACACCAGCUUUGUGAGUGUGUUUAUAAUUCCAUCCUAUAACUUUUCAUCUUUUUGUAUCCAUAUAUUUUAGAUGUGUCUCUUGUAAAUGCAUUUAGAUGUUUUCUUUUAACCAAUCUGAGCAUACAAUCGUGGGUCAUUUAGCCCAUUUUAAUGUAAUUGAAUUACUAAUAUAGUUGGUAUAAUAGCUAAGAGCAGUGGCUUCAGUGCUACACACACCUAGGUUUGAAUAUUGGCUCUACCAUGGCCAAAUAUGUUGUCUUGAUCCUGGGCUUGGUUCGCAGGAGCAUUAAAGGAUUAAUGAGCAAAAACAGAAAUUCUAAGUGCUAUUAUUGAAGGGGAAGUGAAGCUAGUAUAAGGAAGACAGUCUUCCUGGAAAAAAUUAAUUAUUGGUAGAGGGAAGAGAAAUAAAAUUAAAUGGGUAAGGUGAGACCAACCGUGGGAGCAUUGAAAACUUAGCAAAAGAGUAAAAACUUUUGCUGGUGGGAGCUUUUAGAAGCUCUUGAGCAUGGAAUUAGCAUGACAAGCCUGAAGAGAUCACUACUUUGGAAUUUUCUCCCAAGUGGAAGUCAACCUGUUGGGUAUACCCGAGAACCUGUUGGCCAUUGUAAAAAGUUGUACUGAGAAAGGAUGAAGACCUAAACAACUACAGAAAGAAGAUUACAGUGUUUGAAUGACAGGAAAGCAUUGAACUAUGGUUAGCUGUCUGUUGCAGUAAAGGGAAGUGAGUUAGCUCAGGAGGUGAAGACGUUUAAUGUGAAAGUGGCUGCAGGUAGUUCCAUGUUGUGUCACAAUGCCAUUCACUGUGCUCCUGGAUGUCACAAUUACACUGAAGUGUACAGGGCAAAAGGCUAAUUUUAAAAUUAGCCAAAUAACUGGGAGAGAGUUGAAAGUACCUUAUGUAUAAUUUCUCUUCUGCUAACUUAGUAUGCAAUCUAAAAUUCUUGAUUUCUUGAUUUUUUUCAUAUUUUAAGUAGGAAUAAUUUCUGACUUGCCUACAUCUCAGAUUUAUUGUAAAAUGAUAGAUGCACAAGUAUUUUGGGAACCCAAGUCAAAAAUCACUUUAAAAUAAUUAUUUUUAUUGGAAUAUAUAUAAUCAAGAUUUGAUAUUUACCAAUAUCAAUACUCAAACAGGCGGGGCGCAGUGGCUCACACCUGUAAUCCCAGCACUUUGGGAGGCUGAGCUGCACCGAUGGCUCGAUCCCAAGGAGUUCAAGACCAGCCUGAGCAAAAUGACGAAACCACACCUCUACAGAAAAUACAGAAAGUUAUCCAGGGAUAAUGGCACAUGCCUGUAGUCCCAGCUACUAGGGGUGGGUGGGGGGUUUGAAGCGGGAAGAUUGCUUAGUCCUGGGAGGUUCAGGCUGCAAUAAGCCAUUAUCACACCACUGCACUCCAGCCUGGGCGACAGAGCGAGACCUUGUCUCAAAAACAAAACAAAACAACAAUGACAACAACAAAACACCUCUAAAGCAGCAAUUCUUAAACUUUUUAGUCUCUAGGAUCCCUUUAUAAUAUUAAAAAUUGAGACCCAGCCAGGUGUGGUGGCUCACACCUAUACCCCAACACUUUGGGAGGCUGAGGUGGGAGGAUCACUUGAACCUUGGAGUUUGAGGUCAGCCUGGGCAACAUAGGGAGACCUGCACCUCUACAAAAAAUUAAGAAAUUAGCCAGUCAUGGUAGAGCCUGCCUAUGGUCCCAGCUACUUGAGAGGCUGAGGUAGUGAGGUACGAGGUCGAGGCUGCAGUAAGCCAUGAUCACGCCACUGCA
Molecule: long non-coding RNA, 2463 nt
Organism: Homo sapiens (human)
Lineage: Eukaryota; Metazoa; Chordata; Mammalia; Primates; Hominidae
Source: Ensembl